Molecule: ribosomal RNA, 356 nt
Filed under: uncultured bacterium
Lineage: Bacteria
Description: bacterial SSU rRNA
Rfam family: Bacterial small subunit ribosomal RNA
Source: RNAcentral
GUAGGGGGCGAGCGUUGUCCGGAAUGACUGGGCGUAAAGGGUGUGUAGGUGGUUUGAUAAGUUAGAUGUGUAAUACCCGGGCUUAACUAGGGUGCUGCAUCUAAAACUGUUAGACUUGAGUACUGGAGAGGAUAGUGGAAUUCCUAGUGUAGCGGUGGAAUGCGUAGAUAUUAGGAGGAACAUCAGUGGCGAAGGCGACUAUCUGGACAGCAACUGACACUGAGGCACGAAAGCGUGGGGAGCAAACAGGAUUAGAUACCCUGGUAGUCCACGCUGUAAACGAUGGAUACUAGAUGCAGGAGGUAUUCACUCCUUCUGUGUCGCAGCUAACGCAAUAAGUAUCCCGCCUGGGGAGU